UUACAAAUUAGAUGGCCCAAGUACGUUCCUCUUUCACGAAAGUGACAAAUAGAUAUCAGAUUCUGCAAAUGAAGACCAAACGAGGUAUGAAAGGGUGAAACCUUGAAGUUCAUAUCGUACAUGAUCCACCCCCCGAAUUCCUAGCAACACUUUACGUACCUAAAAGUAGGGUGAGACGAUUGAUGACAAGCUCCUCUAGGUAGUUGUCAUUGUAUUUGACGGACCGUUGUCAAUGGCACGGGAGGCAUGACACAAGUACGUUGCUCUUUCACCGAAGUGAUAAAUAGAUAUCGGAUUCCGCAAAUGAAGACCAAAACAGGUAUGAUAGGGUGAAACCUUGAAGUUCAUAUCGUACAUGACCCACCCCC
RNAcentral lists this long non-coding RNA (368 nucleotides) under Sorghum bicolor (sorghum). RNAcentral's name for it is "long non-coding RNA (SBIC_LNC017793)". The record is from RNAcentral. Lineage: Eukaryota; Viridiplantae; Streptophyta; Magnoliopsida; Poales; Poaceae.